UUUAACUCAAAUGGUCGGAUAACAGACACUGUCCUAGAAUCAUGACACCGCAUCAGUUCACCAUCAGACCAUGAAGAUGGCAUAAAAGUGGUACAACAUGUUUCUCAGCACGGAAUACACAGUACCGAACCCGAUCACAGCUUCAUCCUAUAAAGUGACAAGAUAGUGCUCAAAUGGAGAUCUAUAUCUUCAAUGCAAUUCCCUUUCCCUACUUCCCAUUCAACUAACCAGCGAGGACAGAAGUGAAGAAAUCCAUGACUGGGAAUCGGAUCGCACCUCCCAAUAAUGCAAGCUUAUGAGGACUUGUGGAAUUCCAUGACCAUUUGAAAGCUGUAAAUUUUGAGUGGAGAGGUCAAGCUGAGAAACAUCCCACAACGCUGUGAUAUGGAGUGGCUGAAGGAGAUAACGCCGGUGCAUUUAAGGCAAGGCUUGAUGUAUGAACGAGGGAGAAGAGGAGAGAGGAAUAUUGGGGGCAGCAUGAAAGCAGGGGGCUUCCAAGAUCCCGAGAACACAGAUGACAGGAUUUGAAACCCAAGUGUGGAUUUCCUUUGUUGGCGGUGGCCUGUCAUCAGUCACAUUCCGCAUGUAGGUUAAUAAGGCUUUAAAAUAAAAGGACAGCCAUGGUUUGACUGACAGUCUGGCAAAGCGAGCAAAGCGAGCUUCUUUGUCAUCCAUCGUUUCUUCAAUGAACGCAAGCAAUGAGUGUCAACAGAUUUGCUGAAUGCCUUGAGUUCAUUAUGACAAGUAGUCAGUCUCUGGAAUAUUUCCACUUAUUAAUAGGACAGUAC
Chiloscyllium plagiosum (whitespotted bambooshark) is the source of this 788-nucleotide long non-coding RNA. RefSeq lists it as uncharacterized. The record is from RefSeq and is a predicted model, not a curated record. Lineage: Eukaryota; Metazoa; Chordata; Chondrichthyes; Orectolobiformes; Hemiscylliidae.